This 229-nucleotide ribosomal RNA is filed under the name uncultured bacterium. RNAcentral's name for it is "partial 16S ribosomal RNA". It matches the Rfam family "Bacterial small subunit ribosomal RNA", at positions 568 to 796 of the family's 1533-position model. The record is from RNAcentral.
CGCGUAGGCGGUUUGGCAAGUCUGACGUGAAAUGUACCGGUUCAACCGGGGCGCCGUGUCAGAAACUGCCUGACUUGAGGUCGAGGGAGGAGAGUGGAAUUCCUGGUGUAGCGGUGAAAUGCGUAGAUAUCAGGAGGAACACCCGUGGCGAAGGCGACUCUCUAUCUCGAUUCUGACGCUGAGGCGCGAAAGCUAGGGGAGCAAACAGGAUUAGAUACCCUGGUAGUCC